CGGGCGGUAGCUCAGGAUGGUAGAGCGCAUGCUUUGGGAGCAUGAGGCCGCUGGUUCGACCCCAGUCCGCCCGA
The sequence is a transfer RNA, 74 nucleotides long. It matches the Rfam family "tRNA". Rfam says of the family: Transfer RNA (tRNA) molecules are approximately 80 nucleotides in length. Their secondary structure includes four short double-helical elements and three loops (D, anti-codon, and T loops).